CAGACUCUUACCCUGGCCAGCCGCGGGCGCUGCCAUGAUGAUGAUGCCCACUGUCUGCACAGGCGCGGGUCCGGCCGCGUAAGAACCUGACUCCACUGACACUAGACGGCGGGCCCGAACCCAGGUUCCUGAGUACCUAGUGAUCACCAGAAGCACCCCAGAAGCUGCCUGCCUGCCUGCAGCUUGCUUUCCUAGACGAACUGGGGCUGGAAAAGAAAUAAAGCGCGACACUCGCUGAACACAGACUGGCCUCAGAAAUACGAAAGAUGCCAGCCACAAAACGACCUUUAGUAUGUGAUUCUGUUACAUAGGAUUUGAGAAGAAGCAAUGUCGCAGAGGCGCAGUGGAGCUUUACUAUGAUCAUCAGAGCUGCUCUCUUUCACUCCUUCAGACUUCAUUGUUUUUGUUUCCAGACUUAAGCUGUAUGUCUUCGAUCCUGCUUUCAUACUUCUCUGAAUAAUUAGAGUAAGAAUUCAUCAUGGAAAUGUGACCUUUGGUUCAGUAUAUGUAAUUCAUUUUUUAAAAAAUGACCUGACCUGAGAAUUAUUUUCCCUUCAGCAUGCAUGUAUAUAUCUAUCUAUCUAUAUAUAUGUGUGUGUAUAUACUUGUCUUUUGGCCUCUAUUUUGUUACCAGCUUUUUGUUACCCAAAUUGCUAUUUUUUAAAAUUAUGGAUGUCCGUAUUAACUCUGAUUAUCUCUGCUCCUUAAAUAUACCAAUAUUUUAAAAAUAAAAUAAAUAUUCUCGAAUCGA
Molecule: long non-coding RNA, 751 nt
Organism: Cavia porcellus (domestic guinea pig)
Lineage: Eukaryota; Metazoa; Chordata; Mammalia; Rodentia; Caviidae
Exons: 2
Source: RefSeq, a predicted model, not a curated record